AAGGUGUUAGUAAAAUUUAUAUGACUUUGUCAAGGUCAAGUUAUAGGUGAAACUCCUGUACACCUUA
This 67-nucleotide transfer RNA is filed under the name Murina ussuriensis (Ussurian tube-nosed bat). Its description in RNAcentral is "tRNA-Asp". Lineage: Eukaryota; Metazoa; Chordata; Mammalia; Chiroptera; Vespertilionidae. The record is from RNAcentral.